This 148-nucleotide ribosomal RNA is filed under the name Muribaculaceae bacterium. RNAcentral's name for it is "partial 16S ribosomal RNA". It matches the Rfam family "Bacterial small subunit ribosomal RNA", at positions 1377 to 1533 of the family's 1533-position model. The record is from RNAcentral. Lineage: Bacteria; Pseudomonadati; Bacteroidota; Bacteroidia; Bacteroidales; Muribaculaceae.
GGCCUUGUACACACCGCCCGUCAAGCCAUGGAAGCCGGGAGUGCCUGAAGUGUGCAACCGCAAGGAGCGCCCUAAGGUAAAACCGGUGACUGGGGCUAAGUCGUAACAAGGUAGCCGUACCGGAAGGUGCGGCUGGAACACCUCCUUU